GAGGGGCAUCAGGAAGAAAGCUUGCUUUCUUUGCUGGCGACCGGCGCACGGGUGAGUAACACGUAUCCAACCUGCCCUUUACUCGGGGAUAGCCUUUCGAAAGAAAGAUUAAUACCCGAUAGCAUAAUGAUUCCGCAUGGUUUCAUUAUUAAAGGAUUCCGGUAAAGGAUGGGGAUGCGUUCCAUUAGGUUGUUGGUGAGGUAACGGCUCACCAAGCCUUCGAUGGAUAGGGGUUCUGAGAGGAAGGUCCCCCACAUUGGAACUGAGACACGGUCCAAACUCCUACGGGAGGCAGCAGUGAGGAAUAUUGGUCAAUGGGCGUUAGCCUGAACCAGCCAAGUAGCGUGAAGGAUGAAGGCUCUAUGGGUCGUAAACUUCUUUUAUAUAAGAAUAAAGUGCAGUAUGUAUA
RNAcentral lists this ribosomal RNA (409 nucleotides) under uncultured Bacteroides sp. Its description in RNAcentral is "bacterial SSU rRNA". It matches the Rfam family "Bacterial small subunit ribosomal RNA", at positions 64 to 464 of the family's 1533-position model. The record is from RNAcentral. Lineage: Bacteria; Pseudomonadati; Bacteroidota; Bacteroidia; Bacteroidales; Bacteroidaceae.